UGGGGAAUUUUGGACAAUGGGCGCAAGCCUGAUCCAGCCAUGCCGCGUGCGGGAAGAAGGCCUUCGGUUGUAAACCGCUUUUGUCAGGGAAGAAAUCUUCUGAGUUAAUACCUCGGGAGGAUGACGGUACCUGAAGAAAAAGCACCGGCUAACUACGUGCCAGCAGCCGCGGUAAUACGUAAGGUGCAAGCGUUAAUCGGAAUUACUGGGCGUAAAGCGUGCGCAGGCGGUUUUGUAAGACAGAGGUGAAAUCCCCGGGCUCAACCUGGGAACUGCCUUUGUGACUGCAAGGCUUGGGUGCGGCAGAGGGGGAUGGAAUUCCGCGUGUAGCAGUGAAAUGCGUAGAUAUGCGGAGGAACACCGAUGGCGAAGGCAAUCCCCUGGGCCUGCACUGACGCUCAUGCACGAAAGCGUGGGGAGCAAACAGGAUUAGAUACCCUGGUAGUCCACGCCCUAAACGAUGUCAACUGGUUGUUGGGCAAGGUUCCUUCUCAGUAACGUAGCUAACGCGUGAAGUUG
This 519-nucleotide ribosomal RNA is filed under the name uncultured bacterium. RNAcentral's name for it is "partial 16S ribosomal RNA". It matches the Rfam family "Bacterial small subunit ribosomal RNA", at positions 355 to 867 of the family's 1533-position model. The record is from RNAcentral.